Molecule: long non-coding RNA, 1365 nt
Filed under: Homo sapiens (human)
Lineage: Eukaryota; Metazoa; Chordata; Mammalia; Primates; Hominidae
Description: HSALNT0314066
Source: RNAcentral
GUGUCACAAUGCAAGCUUUGUUCUGAAAAAGAAUCUCAUAGAUUUUAUAGGCUCUAGAAGGAGAGUGACAUUCCAAUUUUCUCCCAAUUCUAUUGGAAGGUCAAUCUUAAAUGCUGUAUAGGAGGAUCUCAUUGAGAAGAUAUCAUUUGAGCAAAGAUGUAAAGCAAGGGAGGGAAUGAGUCAGUGGCUACAUAGCGAGAGUGUCCUAGGCAGAGGAAACAGCUUCUACAAAAGCCCUGAAGCAAGAGAAUGUUUGAAGUGUUCAAGAAUAAACAGGAGAUGCAGAAUGAAUGGAAUUGAGAGUGAGUGAGGCAGUCGGAUACAAGAGAGACUAAUAUGGGGCAGCACUGAAGACUGCUGACAGCAGCCACAUGAGUGAGCUCAGAGUGGACACAACAGCCCCUUCAGAGGCUGCAGGGAUGGCAGACAGCCUGACUGCAAUGUCGUGAAAGAUGCUGAGGCAGAACCAUGCAGCAAAGUCAUUCCCAGAUUCCUGACUCUCAGAAAAUGUAACUCACACCCUUCAACACUGGUCCACCCUGGAAGUUGGAAAGAAAUAUCUUCACUGACAUGAGAACAACAUAUUUGCCUAAUGUUUGUCAUUUUUAUUUUAAAAAACACAUUUCCUUCAUGUGCAAUUUUAAAUUAUAAUUGGAUGUAUAAUAUCUCGAGACCCUGGCUUUUUCUUUAAGCACAAUUUCUCCUUUUUUAUUACAUAAAAAGUAAUGAGAAAAAUAGAUAUUCAUUCGACAAAAGAAUGUUCAAGCCUAGUUACUUAAUGAGCCUUUAUUUGCAUUUGGACCCUAAAAUUAUCCCAUCCCUUCACUCCAUGUAUCCUGUAUUUCUGAUUUUCCUCUAAGAACCAGGACUCAAUUCCUGCUCCAUGACUACAUUUGGAACUUCACUGCUGAGUUUCCGGUUCUGCUAGAGCUUCCAAGAAUGGUGGGCUAAAGUCCCUUUCCUCGAUAAUCUCAUUUCUCAUGGUUUUCUACUUAAAGCAAUACUGUCUAUGAAGUGCAACCUGGCUCUUCCUUCUCCCGUAAUCAUUGCCUCUCUGGAUUUUCCUUCUUCCAAGACUCCCUUUCCUGAUUCCCUUUAACACCCCUUUCAUAAUUCACAUCCAGAGAGUUCUCUGCAAUCACCUACCCAUCCCAAUCUCCAUUAUUUAUUUCAUGUUAUUACCUUUCACAAUUCAUAUAGUAAAUGUUACUUAGAACAGAGGCUGCUCUAGUGUUUCAUUGAUUUGUCUCAUUUUAUUUCUGGUCAUUGAAUGGCACAGUGAUAUCACAUGAGGUUGGACAGAGUUAUUUUCCAUCGCCAUCAUAAAGCUUUAUGACUAUAAGUGGGUUUGUCUUUUACCAGUUC